GGUGUGUGGCUGGUUUUAUUGCUCUUCUUGGUUUUUCUGCAGUGUGGCAUUUGGUUGGUGGUGUCUUUACUGAAAUCCCCCACGGAAGGAAGACCUGAGUGCAGUGUAGGAACCCUGAGAAGUGCUGAAGGGAACUGAACACGAAGAGUGCUGGGUGCAGAGAGCGUCUCUGCAGGAGCUGACUGCGUUUGUGGAUGUUCUCCAUCUCAGAAGCCGUUUUGUUUUUGCUUUUAAUAGAUUAAGGGCUAUUGGGAAGAGAAACUUGGAUAUUCAUUAGCCAAGCCAGUGAAGAACGUGGCAUUCUAAAUCCUUUCUGCAAUCCAUCGUUCAGACAAUCUGGUUAUUGACCUGGUUUGACCAUAGCUCUGUUACACCAUCAGAAAGAAACAACUUGAUCAUGGAGAGCUUUUCUCAUUGCUUUGUUCUUUCGGGAUGCAGUGGGGUUGGUGCUGUUGAAUCCCAUCUGCAUCUGUUUUCCAACCCAUGCAGAACCACUGGGUGCCAUCAACUCUUGGGCAAUGAUGGGUGCCAGUGACGCAGCCCUGCUCACCCCUGAUCUCUGGAUGUCAAAAUCUUGUUCUCAUCAUCUUGGUUCUUUGGGGAGGACUUCAGAUUUUAGGAUAAGUGUCUAUAGAGCAGAGCCAUACAGCUGCUAUGGGCGUCAUGAUUUCUUUGUGCUAAGCAACAUUGUUUUAGAGGUUCCAGUAAUUAAGAUGUAUUGUUUUAUGGUUUGCUGGGAAGAUUGAACUGGAACAGCAGCGUGGAAAUUCAUCUGAAAUGGCAUGGAAAUGUCGAGGAGUAGAAAGGAGGACUUAAUAAAUAGUCAAGCAGAUCCCAGUUGCUGGGAUACAGUGGGUUUAAACGUUCUGCUGCCUGGGAACUGGAACUCCUCAUGGGUUCUGACCCACACAGUGAUGUUCUGCCCCUUCCCUGGCAGUGUCAUGCUUCAAACCUGCCUCGCUGGGGGAUGCUGGUGAGAUUUCUGUUUGAAGAUUGACCAGAAGUUGUUCUGACUGCUGAAUUUACACGGUGCCACGUCCGAUGGCCGCCACGAAGACCUUGGGGAGCGGCUGCAUCCUUGGCGCGGUGCUGCCUUGGGUUUUCUGCCUCCGGUUGGGGGCAGCUUCCUUUCCUAAAGUGACCAUCCCACCAGAGCUGCAGUCAGCAGAGGCUCGCGUUGCAGUGAACGCCACGUCGUGCAGCGUCACCUGCGGCCUGGGCCUCCAAGUGGAGGAAAUGUGUGAGAUCACAGCAGCAGGGGAGAGGAAGAACUGCACCACGCGCCGCUCGCACUGCACCACCACGUGGGGCUGCGGUUUGCUGCACCUCACCGUCCCCGUGGGCAAACCCCUGGUGCUCAGCUGCCUGACCUCAGACGUCAUCGAUUUGGGCGUCAGAGGGUACAGCUGCACGUGGAAACUCGCCCCGGGUCUCAUCACCAUGAAUGAUGUUUUGUUUGCACCUUUCAGAAACCCGGGUUUCGCCGUUGCCUUUUCCCCAACCAAGGAAUCUGAUGCUGGGACGUACCGCUGCGACGUGCGCGUGUUGAAGACGUUCAGGGUCAUCAAGAGGAUCUACUUUGGGCUCAGGGUGAUCCGAAAUGACUUGGUGGACCUGGACUUUGGCAAAUCCUUGACUCGAGAGCAGAAGCUGGCAGUCAGGAACGAGGAAGGAAUCGAAGCCAACAGCACCCUUGUAGACGUGGAGGAGAAGCUGUACUUUUGGCAAAGAAAAUCCUUUCGUAGAUCCUUGAUAGGGUUUGGAACCGGGCUGGUAGGGGUCGUCAUGGUGAGCCUGGCUCUCCGCUGCUUGCAGGAGAGGUUGAGAAGCAGAGCUGCAGAGAAUCAGACUCAGUUCUAGUGCGAUUUCUUGCCUCUGUCUCACUUAUUGUCACAAGUAGAUCAACAUCAGUAUUGGUGCACUGUUUCACAAUGAGGUUUUGUGACACAGAUCCCUGAGGUCGGUAGCUGGAGCAAAAGAGGUGCAGAGAAGUGAAGAUGCUGCAGCUGGGUCCCUGCUGGGUCUCUGUGGUCCUUCCCAGCAGACCCCAAGGGAACCUCCUCUUUCCAAGCAGCAGCACUGACACAGAGCAGUGCACACCCACAUUUAGGACACCUCGAGGAGCCCACUGCGUGCCGGCUGCGUUCGUCCCACCCAGACCUCUCCUGUCUGUGGCUUUUUUGAUGGCAUCCCUUAAACCUCAAGCAGGAUGGAGGGAGUGCCUGGAAAUGUGGCAAUUUUCUUCAAUAACCAUUGGUUUUGUAGAACAGCUUUCUUAGCCCAGGAUUGCAGAGGGUUUUACAACAUAACAGUGGAUGUGGUUCGGUGGGAGCAACAACUGGGCUUGCAAAUGCAGCAGCAAUGCAGUGCUCAGCACUGGGGCUCAGCUCAGAUACCUGCAUACCUCCAGGAGAGGCUUUUAGCAGGUAAGGUGUGACAUGCAUUGCUUGUGGCUAUGAAAUGCAUGCGAGUGCACAGUUACCACCUGCAUAAUGCAUCCCCCUCCUUCCCCACACAAGGAAGGAUGCUUUGAAGAAAUCCAGUUUGCUCUCCCCUUUCUUUUUGCUUCCUUCCUCCCAGCACAGCUGCAUGAGAGCCGUAGAUAUUCUGCUUGUUCCCUCCCCUGCCAUUUCUCCCAGCUUUUUUUGGCAGUGACACCCUGCAGACAUUUGUUCACUUGUUGCCUGUCUCUUGUGAUAGCAGCGUGGAGCUUUGGAGCGUGUGAACAAAGCGGUGUCUUUUGCUGAAGCACGCUGAACACUGAUGGGUUUUUGGGUUCGUGUAUUAUCUCAGGUGAAAUAGAGAAAAACAAACCCACUGUUGCAACGCUAAUCCUAAGCAGGGGCGUGUUGGUUAACUCUGCAUUAGAAGACGUUGAGUCAGGCGUGCUUAGUCUGAUUCCAAGGUUUGAAUGGGCUUCACCAUGGCCACCAAUUUCCCCUUGGUGUCUGUUUGCCGUUAACGAUGGCACUUGAGAAAGCAGAAACGCACUGGGGGCGAUCCAUCUCUGUUGCUGGCUGCUCCCUGCUGCAUGCUUUAAUUAUGCUUCCCCCCACCUUACAAAGCCCCUCUGCUGCUGCAGUCCCUGAGCUCAUUAAGGGGCUGUGGGGAGGAGCGGGCUCACCUGCGGCCCUGCACAGUGUGGGGCAGAGGGGCCACAGCUUGACAUGGGCUGAACACAGCUGAGCUGGGCUCUGGGACCUCAUCCUGCCCCUAAGCCACACUAAGGGCUCAGUGUGUUGUUUGGCUGCCAGAUAAACUCAUCCCUCCACCCGUGGGCAGUGGGGGCUCCUUGGAAAAGGAGUCCAUCCCUCCCCCUCCAUCCUUACCCCUCCAUUCCUCCCCACACACUGCACCAUCCAAACUCAUUGGAGCUGGAAGCUUACAGGCCAGCUUCAAGAGCAGCUGGGGUUUUCCCAGCACUUUCCCAAACGUGACCCUUUUUGCUUCCAUCCCAAAGCACGUUCUUUUUGUGAGCUGAUGUGGAGUUCAGCUUGGUGGGAACAGAAGUGCUUAAGCACAACUGAACGUGAGCGAGUGCAGCAGGAAGGUCUGGGUGAUGUUUCCUGUGGCCACUGCUGCUCAGCCCCCAUCUCACUGCCCACUCUGACUCCAGCACAACCUCAGAGCUGUGCCACACACCGCUGCUCCAUGCCUUGGAGUCCAUCCUGCAGGUAGAGGGAAGCAAACAGGUUUUAUUCAAGGCCAGAAGGAAGGAGGGAGAUGGAUUAAUCCAACAGAGCGCAGAGCAGGUGAUUUCAUGCCGUGCUUCCUGCCACGGUGGAAAUUAUUUUCUGUAAUGGAAGUGAACCUUCACGAGCCUGCUGGCUCGUGGCUGGUCUCAGGGAUAUCCUUCCUGGAAGAACUCCAGUCAGGGUUUAAAUGCUGCGAUGGAUGAUGAAGGUUUUUUGGCAAGCUAUCCUAAAAAUCAAUUACCCUUUUUGCUAAUGAGCCACGUGAAAUUUCUUACUUGAGUUUUCUAGCAUUACUUGCUUGCCAUCAGAACACCAGCCAGGAAAAGCACAUUAAAUUAACAGAUCUAAGCAGAACCCCAACAGACACCUGCAAUUCCUCGCCCUGAGGGCAGCCCCUCCUCUUCCCAUCAGAUAUCGCUGUCUGUGGGGUAGAACCAGAGCUUACUGUGUCCUAAUUAACUUCUGCUGAGUUCUGCUGGGUGUUCUGUCUGUGGGUGCCAUUGGCAGUGCAGGGCUGGGGGGAUGCUGAGUGCUCCCAGUGCUUGUUGCCCUUCCAGAAGCAUUCCAGGCUCCAGCAGUUGUCUGAAGUCUCUAAAGAUCUUUAUUUAAGAACUGCGUGCUUCUGUAGCCAAUAAAUAACCAUAAUUACAGUAAAUACAGUAUGCUUACACUGCUCCCCAUUUGUUUUCCUUAAAAAAAUAGUUAACAAGCAAGUUGUUGAGAAGAAAGCUGCCUGGGUGCAGUGAGGCUGGAUGAAAAUAUUCCCAGCUGAUGGUUGGUGUGGUGGGGAACAGCUCUGCAGGUUUGGAGCAGGCAGGAUUCAGGACUCCAGGCUUUAUGGAUGGGAUGCCAUCCCGUUCUUUACCCCGUUAUGAAUGGGAUUCGUUACUCAGCUCCUUCCUUGGGUGAAGGAUGGGAACGUCUCCCAUCUGGGAUCAGUGUUGAAUCAUUCCUGCUGUAACUGAGCCCUUCCUCAUCCAAACCCACCUGGCUGAGUGCUGAGUUUGGUCCAGACCUCCUAAAAUCAGAAACAUAACUUUCCAUCUGUAACUUCAGUACGACCAGGUAGGCUAUUGCAUGUUAGAUGUGAAUAUAUCAGAGCUGUUCACCUGGGAGACCCAAAGCUUUUCACCCUCGUUGCUUAUCCCUUCCAGCAUCCUCGUGGCAUUGGUGGCACUGCUAAGAAGUAAGAAGGACCCUGUGAAAUUGGAUGACUUCCCUCGCUGAGCCAUAACAGCAUUGGAACAAAACCCGGGCGCUUAACUCGUCCCUGUCCUCUCCGCCUUGAAAUGAAGCAUCUCCAAGCCUUCUGCAUCAGGAGGAUCUCUCUCCAAACGGGUGGAUUUUCUCUUACCCCUCCCCAGACAACAAAGAAGCAAACAACAGAACAAGAAC
This is an RNA transcript of Tympanuchus pallidicinctus (lesser prairie-chicken), 5090 nucleotides long. It is a transcript of the gene named transmembrane protein 81, with no coding region annotated. The transcript is spliced from 5 exons. The record is from RefSeq and is a predicted model, not a curated record. Lineage: Eukaryota; Metazoa; Chordata; Aves; Galliformes; Phasianidae.